Thalassophryne amazonica is the source of this 161-nucleotide long non-coding RNA. RefSeq lists it as uncharacterized. NCBI's taxonomy places the organism in Eukaryota, Metazoa, Chordata, Actinopteri, Batrachoidiformes, Batrachoididae. The record is from RefSeq and is a predicted model, not a curated record. The transcript has 3 exons.
UUGGUAAAAAAAAAAAGGUAAAGUGCAGGCAGGGUGGAGUGGGUGGAGAAAGGUGGCAGGAGUGAUUUGUUAUUGAAGGAUAUCUGCAAGAAUGAAGGAGAAAGUUUAUAAGACAGUCGUGAGACCAGCUGUGUUAUACACCUGUGAGACAGUGGCGCUAA